This 1308-nucleotide ribosomal RNA is filed under the name uncultured bacterium. RNAcentral's name for it is "bacterial SSU rRNA". It matches the Rfam family "Bacterial small subunit ribosomal RNA", at positions 28 to 1381 of the family's 1533-position model. The record is from RNAcentral.
AACGUACGCUGGCGGCACGCCUAACACAUGCAAGUCGAACGAAGUAGCAAUACUUAGUGGCAGACGGGUGAGUAACAUGUAGGUAUCUGCCCUUUGGCCUGGAAUAACACGAGGAAACUUGUGCUAAUACCGGAUAAGUCUUUACGGAGAAAGCUUUAUGCACCAUUGGAUGAGCCUGCACUUGAUUAGUUUGUUGGUGGGGUAAUGGCCUACCAAGACUGUGAUCAAUAGCUGAUUUGAGAGGAUGAUCAGCCACAUUGGGACUGAGACACGGCCCAAACUCCUACGGGAGGCAGCAGUGGGGAAUCUUGCACAAUGGAGGAAACUCUGAUGCAGCGAUGCCGCGUGAGUGAAGAAGGCCCUUGGGUUGUAAAGCUCUUUCGUCGGGGAAGAAAAUGACUGUACCCGAAUAAGAAGGUCCGGCUAACUUCGUGCCAGCAGCCGCGGUAAUACGAAGGGACCUAGCGUAGUUCGGAAUUACUGGGCUUAAAGAGUUCGUAGGUGGUUGAAAAAGUUAGUGGUGAAAUCCCAGAGCUUAACUCUGGAACUGCCAUUAAAACUUUUCAGCUAGAGUAUGAUAGAGGAAAGCAGAAUUUCUAGUGUAGAGGUGAAAUUCGUAGAUAUUAGAAAGAAUACCAAUUGCGAAGGCAGCUUUCUGGAUCAUUACUGACACUGAGGAACGAAAGCAUGGGUAGCGAAGAGGAUUAGAUACCCUCGUAGUCCAUGCCGUAAACGAUGUGUGUUAGACGUUGGAAAUUUAUUUUCAGUGUCGCAGGGAAACCGAUAAACACACCGCCUGGGGAGUACGACCGCAAGGUUAAAACUCAAAUGAAUUGACGGGGACCCGCACAAGUAGUGGAGCAUGUGGUUUAAUUCGAAGAUACGCGCAGAACCUUACCAACACUUGACAUGUUCGUCGCGACUCUAAGAGAUUAGAGUUUUCGGUUCGGCCGGACGAAACACAGGUGCUGCAUGGCUGUCGUCAGCUCGUGUCGUGAGAUGUUGGGUUAAGUCCCGCAACGAGCGCAACCCUCACUUUUAGUUGCCAUCAUUAAGUUGGGCACUCUGAAAGAACUGCCAGUGAUAAGCUGGAGGAAGGUGGGGAUGACGUCAAGUCCUCAUGGCCCUUACGUGUUGGGCUACACACGUGCUACAAUGGUAUCUACAACAGGAAGCAAAACUGCGAAGUUAAGCAAAUCCCUAAAAGAUACCUCAGUUCGGAUUGCACUCUGCAAACUCGAGUGCUUGAAAGCUGGAAUUACUAGUAAUCGUGGAUCAGCGUGCCACGGUGAAUGCGUUCCCGGGUCU